CCUACGGGAGGCAGCAGUGAGGAAUAUUGGUCAAUGGGCGUAAGCCUGAACCAGCCAAGUCGCGUGAGGGAUGAAGGCUCUAUGGAUCGUAAACCUCUUUUAUAAGGGGAUAAAGUGCGGGACGUGUCCCGUUUUGUAGGUACCUUAUGAAUAAGGAUCGGCUAACUCCGUGCCAGCAGCCGCGGUAAUACGGAGGAUCCGCGCGUUAUCCGGAUUUAUUGGGUUUAAAGGGGGCGUAGGCGGCCUGUUAAGUGAGCGGUGAAAGUCCGGGGCUCAACCAUGGCAUUGCGGGUGAAACUGGGUGGCUUGAGUAUGUUUGAGGCAGGCGGAAUGCGUGGUGUAGCGGUGAAAUGCUUAGAUAUCACGCAGAACCCCGAUUGCGAAGGCAGCAUGC
This 394-nucleotide ribosomal RNA is filed under the name uncultured bacterium. RNAcentral describes it as "partial 16S ribosomal RNA". It matches the Rfam family "Bacterial small subunit ribosomal RNA", at positions 338 to 729 of the family's 1533-position model. The record is from RNAcentral.